UGGCGCCAGGCUCCUCGCCCGCGGCUGCCACCUGCCUGCUACGCUUCCGUCCGCCACGCCACCUCAGCCUAACUUCUCUGGAAUUGGAGCCCUGAAAGCCUCUGCUCCACAGUCCGCCAGUGGAAAGCCCCGCGCCGCCACCUACUGUGCGGGAUCCCGUCUCCGCUCCUCUCCUCUCCCGCGACAGGAAAAUUUGGCGGAGCGGCGGCUCCUCAGCUGGUCUGAGGCGCGGGGCUCUCAGACCUCCAGCCUAGAAGAGCUGUUACAAUUUAAGCUGGUCCUGGAAACUUUACCUUCCUGAAAAAGAAAUUGUGGGUGCAGUAGCUGAAGACCAUUUCUAAGUAUUCUCAAGGCAUUGAGAACACCAAAUAAAGAAAUCAUGUUGCUGUGAUGGCAGAGCAAGAGGAAAGAUCUACCACGUUUAUUUGAGGAGGUCUUUGAAGCUGUCCUGAUUCUCCCUCUUCCCAUGACCUGGUUAUUCAACUAUUUAUUGGAUUCAGUAAGUAACUUGGUAUCUUUUCCUACUUGCCUAAGUAGGUUUUCAUUACUCCAAAUCAAAAGAAUCCAAUAUUCCUAAGCAAGCUCGCCCAGAUAUUAAAUAGGUAUUGGGGAUUUAAAUAACAAUUGGUUGAAUUCCAGAAGGAGCAACUGUUUAUAUUCAUGUUCAAAUGCAAUAGAUGAUAACUGCUGUCCAAAAAUAAAUUGUAAUCUGUAUACACUUGUCUUGAAGAACAAAAUCAACAUUUGUAUAACUUUCUCCUCAAUCAUAUUUGAUUUAAAUGCUUUCUAUUUCCUAGAUUACAUUUAACUUAUUUUUAAUGAAAAAAAAAAGAAAGAAAGAAGCAUCCUGCUUAUGUAGGAAAGUUUCCUUCUCUCCUUCUGCACUCCGCAAAUGCACAUUUCCAGGUUUAAAAAUCUUUCUGAAGUUUUCUUGACAAGAAUUCCAGUUUUCAGAAGUUUUCUAAUAAGAUCAAAAUACAGGUAACAGGACAAGAAGGCAAUGUGCUUGUUCCUCACUUUUCCCUCAUAAGGAAUGGAGUUGGUUCUCACAGCCAAAUAGUUCUGUGGUGUGGUGUUCAGGGAUUCUAACAGAGGUGACUGACAACAGCAGGCUUUUUAAAAAAAAAUACAUUCCAGAAGCUCAUGUACUCUGGAAAUUCAAAUUGCAGAUCCCAGCUGGCCUGGAAACAUCUGCUGUUCAUUGAUAACACGGUCAGGCUCUCAUUUCAGCUCUUCACUCUGUUGUGAAUUCAUUUGUGUAGCUGCCUUCCUGAAACUGUUUAUUCUGAAAUGGCAUGCUAGAAGCAUAGGCCAAAUAGAGUAAGUUUGCUGAAAGCUACAAGUUAAUUUGAUGGUUUUCCUGCUCUUGAAUGAACUUUCUGAUGCCUUCACCUUGUCAUAGUCUGAAGCAUAUCAGUUCAUUACAUUUGGGGAUAUACAUAUUAAUGUAUUCAGUAAGUAACUUGGGAUGAAAUGUGUUUAUCUCAUUCUAGCAAAAGCUGAUGGGCAUGCAUUUCCUAAUCUGAAUAAUUUACUUAGAGGAGGGUGAUUAUGAUCAUACAGCAUGGACUGCUGGAUUGCAUCUAUCACAGAGUGAUUUAUUCUGAACUACCGUGAGUGGAUCUGGAGUGAAAGUUCUUAAAAGAGAAACUGUGUUCUUCCUGAGGUGAGAGGCUGUCCUCAUGAGUUUGACAAAGUAAGUGACCAUGUUGGAGAGACCCACAUGGCUAAGAGGUAUGUUAAGAGGGCAUCCUUGAAGAUCUGAGGCCGGUUUUCAGUCAAGAGAUAGCAAAAAGCUAGCUUAUAGGGUUGCAAGGAAAUAAAUCUGAAUGAGCAAACUUUUCCCCAGUUAAUCCUGCACUUGAUAAUUCAGCCUUGCUGACAUCUCUCCUGAAGCCUUAUGAGCCUCUGAGUAGAGGACCCAAAUAAACCAUGCUCAGACCCCUGACCACAGAUACUUUGUAUGACACAAUACAUGUGUGUUGCUUUAAGAUGCUAAAUUAGUGGCAGUUUAUUAUGCAGAGAUGGAAAACUAGUGCAGUGCUUUAAAUAGCAAUGCAACCA
Molecule: non-coding RNA, 2064 nt
Organism: Odocoileus virginianus texanus
Lineage: Eukaryota; Metazoa; Chordata; Mammalia; Artiodactyla; Cervidae
Source: RefSeq, a predicted model, not a curated record